Morus notabilis is the source of this 409-nucleotide long non-coding RNA. RefSeq lists it as uncharacterized. The record is from RefSeq and is a predicted model, not a curated record. NCBI's taxonomy places the organism in Eukaryota, Viridiplantae, Streptophyta, Magnoliopsida, Rosales, Moraceae. The transcript has 3 exons.
CUCCUCUCCUCUCCUUUUCUUUCUCUUCUUCUUUCUUUCUUUCUCAGUUUUUUUCUUUUGUCAAAAUGGGUGGUGGUCCUCUGAAAGGCAGUUAUUUUCUUAGCAAAUCAGCUGCUAUAGAUCAAAGGCAAAGAUUGUAAUUAGAAGAAGAAAGCUUGGAAGGAAAUAUAACAUUAGUUCGAACAUUUUCUCUGUGUCAAUUCCUGUCGCAGGCUUCCAUAGUAUAAUUGUAUGCAGGUAUUAGGUAUACAUUAAGCAUAAUGGAAUCUCACCGCUAAAGAUGUGACACAAUGUGCAAGGUGGAUGAUAUAUAGACCCCAUAUUGGAUAAGUUUAGGUGAUCAAUUACAUGGAAUCUUGAGCUGCUUCUCUGAUCUUGAGAAAUUUUUUUUUUUUUUUUUUUUUUUUUU